Molecule: long non-coding RNA, 2671 nt
Organism: Mytilus californianus (California mussel)
Lineage: Eukaryota; Metazoa; Mollusca; Bivalvia; Mytilida; Mytilidae
Exons: 3
Source: RefSeq, a predicted model, not a curated record
UAGCCAAUGCAAGAGCUAUUGGAAAUGAUAUGGACGAAAUUCAGAAUGGUUUACAUACACAUAGUGAUAGUGCUGCUGAGAUACCUGUAUACUCAUCUAUUGACAAAAGACACAAUCUUCGUUUACAUCAAACUGCUGCGUACACUGUUGAUCAAAAGUGCAUAACAAAUCCUCUUAAAUUUGGCCAUCAAACAGGUAAGGAUGUCAACAGAGUGAGCAAGUUUGCAUCCAUGAAAUGUCCGUCAGAAAUAGAACGGGGAGAAAAGGAAUCAAGGGAACUAAACUACGUUGAAAUUCUCUUUGAUCAGAAACCAGUUUAUCCGUUUACAAUUCAUGGACUUGACGACAAAACUAAUUAUGUUGAAAUAGAUUUCACGCAAAGUGCUGACCCUCUACCCGACAGUGACACAGACAGUGAAAGCGAGAAGUAAUAACAAUAUCUUGGAAUUAUGUCAGAAAACUGCUUUUAGAAAAUCGAAAGACAUUGAAGGAUGCUUUAUAAGAGCGGUUAAUUAAAAUUAUUUUCACAAUAAUGUCAUUUUUAAGCAAAAAAUGAAUAGAAUAAUAUGUGCUGUCAAUAUUAACGUUUAAUUGUGUCAAAAUCUUCUGUUUUAUCAUUGUUAUGUACAGGGGUGUAUUAUGAUAGCCAAUUAGACAUCUUUCUUCCACAGAUCAAAGGGACCACUCGGUCUUCAACUAUGAACAAAACCUGUACUACCACAUUGUAUCUAUAAAAAUCGCAUAAACGUAAAAAUGUGAAAUCAAAAUUUUUAACUGCUUGCUUUAUGCUUAAAAAAAAAAUUGGAGAUCUCAUCAAAAACAAGAAUACUAGAGUACUAAGCAUUGACAAGCACAUAAAUAAUGUUACGGAAUAAGACAUGUGAACAAGCGCUUAACAUACUUAUUACUAGUUACAGUGACGUAACAACAUAAAACAACUAACAAAAUGACUAAAGACAAAGAGUGCACAAAGUUAAUCUAAACAAGAUCAAUGCUAAUUUUAACUGAUAAAAGCACCGUUUCCUUUCGCAUGGUGGUGGAAUAAAAAAAAAACCUGCAAUCAAACCAUAUAUGCCUAAAGGAAAAUGACAUUAAACAUAAAAAAAAAUGGAAUUAUUAAGAUUUAAUAACAAAAUUAUGCAGAAAGAAAUGUUACCAUAUUAUAGUUACAUAUCAUUGUUGUGAUUACUGGAUAUCUAAAUUUUUUUUCAUAUAUAUAGUGAACUGGGAAAACGACUAUUUAUUAUGUGUAUAGUUAAAAGAAGUCCUUGACACUUUAUUAUUAUUGAUUCUACUGAAACUAUGAAUUUGUAUUAAUUAAAUUGCAAUUGUGUACUAUAUUGUAAAUUCGGAAAAAUGUAACUGAAUGUAAACAACUCACGCAUACCUUUAUCUUAUGUUUUUAAUGGGUCCUGUCAUUUCAGCAUUUUACCACACUGAAAUUAAAUAAUUGUCGCACUCAAAAACAUUUCUUGUCUAAUUUCAAUAUCAUGAUAUCUAUUCAAAAAUUCAUAUUGUACAAUUGUACAGUGUUUAUUACAUUUUCUAAUAUUCAAAUGAGUACUAGUACUAGACAUUAUUUGAUAUUGUAUUGUAGUUGAGUCGUAGGAUGAUUUAUUCAGCUUAUAAUUACCUCAAAUACUUUUUUAUGAUAUUUUCGAAUGAAUUCACUUCUACAUGGCACUACAUAUCAUAAACUAUAGUGUCCUUAAAAGUUGAUAAAUAACAUAUAGGGACUUCAUUAAAGCUGUAUGCAAAGGUUUCAUAAUUUUUAUGUUUCUUUUUAAUUUUUUCCGGUGUUUAAGGAAGUAAUUGAAAAUUGAUAGUGGUGUUCAAUUUUUUUCUCUUUUUGGAAGUAUGUUGUAUAUUCAAUACAAACAUCAGUACAAACGUUCAGUACUGGUUCAUUGACCUUGAAAAGUAUAAGGUUUCAGACCGUUCAAUGUUUUUGACCUAACCAUAGUUACGAACGGCAAUGUGGUGGUAUAUAGUCCGUUUUCUAAUCAAAACAUUGACUUAUUACAGACAUAAAAAUCUUGUAUUGACUUUGAAAAUGAUUGACAGGUUUUAAUUGUUGAUUUGUUUCUGAUUGCCGUGCACUAACAAAACGGAAUUAAGACUAGAUUGCCUAUGGUGUACAUGUAAUUCAUAAAAAAAUAUCGUACAUUUUCUAAGGUCUUUAAAGGAUCUGAAAGUAUCACCGACCCUCUUAUACAUUUACGACUAUGAUAAAUAUAUGUAUGUGUUUAAAUAAAACAUUGUCUUAAAUGCUGUGCUACCCGUAGCUUAAACACAUGGCUGUCAUCUUAAUACUUAUUGAUUAUCUUUUAAAGAAUUUCCAGUUAUAAUGAUAAUGCGUGUAAAACUGCUACCAAAUGCAAGGUAAACAGUCAAUUUAUAUGUACCCGAUUUUUAAAUGUCAACAAAAAACUAUCUCUGCGCUGUCCAUUUAGUUGCAUUUUUUUCUGAUUCUUUCAAAGGGGUUUUUCAAUUCAAAAAAUAGUUUGAAUAAUGACAGAACUGCACAAGCAUUGACAAAAAAAAAAUGAUAUCAUAUUCAGAUUUUAUCAUGUUAAUAUUUGAAUAGGUAUUCAGUAAACUACUCAUUUACGUUAUUUUUACAAGGUUGCCUUACUAUUGUACAAAACACUACAGUAACUAAAUUAAGAAC